GUCCUCCUGUUGUAUUUAAACAGUAUAGGUGAACAGGUGAGGAGGGGAACAGGUGAGGAGGUGAACAGGUGACUGGUGAGGAGGUGAACAGGAGAGGAGGUGAACAGGUGACAGGAGAGGAGGUGAACAGGUGAGGAGGGGAACAGGUGAGGAGGUGACAGGUGAGGAGGUGAACAGGAGAGGAGGUGAACAGGUGACAGGAGAGGAGGUGAACAGGUGAGGAGGUGAACAGGAGAGGAGGUGAACAGGUGACAGGAGAGGAGGUGAACAGGUGACAGGAGAGGAGGUGAACAGGUGACAGGAGAGGAGGUGAACAGGUGACAGGUGAGGAGGUGAACAGGUGAGGAGGUGAACAGGUGACAGGAGAGGAGGUGAACAGGUGACAGGUGAGGCGGUGAACAGGUGACAGGAGAGGCGGUGAACAGGUGAGAGGUGAGCAGGUGACAGGUGAGGAGGUGAACAGGUGACAGGUGAGGAGGUGAACAGGUGACAGGAGAGGAGGUGAACAGGUGAGGAGGUGACAGGUGAACAGGUGACAGGAGAGGAGGUGAACAGGAGAGGAGGUGAACAGGUGACUGGUGAGGAGGUGAACAGGAGAGGAGGUGAACAGGUGACAGGAGAGGAGGUGAACAGGUGAGGAGGGGAACAGGUGAGGAGGUGACAGGUGAGGAGGUGAACAGGAGAGGAGGUGAACAGGUGACAGGAGAGGAGGUGAACAGGUGAGGAGGUGAACAGGAGAGGAGGUGAACAGGUGACAGGAGAGGAGGUGAACAGGUGACAGGAGAGGAGGUGAACAGGGGACAGGAGAGGAGGUGAACAGGUGACAGGUGAGGAGGUGAACAGGUGAGGAGGUGAACAGGUGACAGGAGAGGAGGUGAACAGGUGAACAGGUGACAGGUGAGGCGGUGAACAGGUGACAGGAGAGGCGGUGAACAGGUGAGAGGUGAGCAGGUGACAGGUGAGGAGGUGAACAGGUGACAGGUGAGGAGGUGAACAGGUGACAGGAGAGGAGGUGAACAGGUGAGGAGGUGACAGGUGAACAGGUGACAGGAGAGGAGGUGAACAGGAGAGGAGGUGAACAGGUGACAGGUGAACAGGUGACAGGAGAGGAGGUGAACAGGUGACAGGUGAACAGGUGACAGGAGAGGAGGUGAACAGGUGAGGCGGUGAACAGGUGACAGGUGAGGAGGUGAACAGGUGACAGGAGAGGAGGUGAACAGGUGACAGGUGAGGAGGUGAACAGGUGAGGAGGUCAACAGGUGACAGGUGAGGAGUUGAACAGGUGACAGGAGAGGAGGUGAACAGGUGAGGAGGUGACAGGAGAGGAGGUGAACAGAUGAGGAGGUGAACAGGUAACAGGAGUUGGUCCCUUUUGUCCUGUUUGCUCCAUAUUCAGUUUUUAUUGAGCAGAUACUGAAUGUGCUCGAUG
This is a long non-coding RNA of Labrus mixtus (cuckoo wrasse), 1429 nucleotides long. RefSeq lists it as uncharacterized. The transcript is spliced from 3 exons. The record is from RefSeq and is a predicted model, not a curated record. NCBI's taxonomy places the organism in Eukaryota, Metazoa, Chordata, Actinopteri, Labriformes, Labridae.